UAAGGAAUAUUGGUCAAUGGACGCAAGUCUGAACCAGCCAUGCCGCGUGGAGGAUGAAGGUCCUCUGGAUUGUAAACUUCUUUUAUAUGGGACGAAAAAGGGUCUUUCUAGAUCAACUGACGGUACCAUAUGAAUAAGCACCGGCUAACUCCGUGCCAGCAGCCGCGGUAAUACGGAGGGUGCAAGCGUUAUCCGGAUUCACUGGGUUUAAAGGGUGCGUAGGUGGGUUGGUAAGUCAGUGGUGAAAUCCCCGAGCUUAACUUGGGAACUGCCAUUGAUACUAUUAAUCUUGAAUACUGUGGAGGUCAGCGGAAUAUGUCAUGUAGCGGUGAAAUGCUUAGAUAUGACAUAGAACACCAAUUGCGAAGGCAGCUGGCUACACAAAUAUUGACACUGAGGCACGAAAGCGUGGGGAUCAAACAGGAUUAGAUACCCCCGUAGUCCCUGAGCGGGCUGGCAAGGCGCAU
RNAcentral lists this ribosomal RNA (467 nucleotides) under uncultured bacterium. Its description in RNAcentral is "bacterial SSU rRNA". It matches the Rfam family "Bacterial small subunit ribosomal RNA", at positions 355 to 825 of the family's 1533-position model. The record is from RNAcentral.